UCGCGUGCUCUCGACGCGCCGGCUUUGUGCACGUUUGCAGUCAGUGCCGUGCCGGUCGCUUGCCGUGAUGUGUUUUGAUCUACUCGUAUUGUUUGUCCGAACUUCCGCUUUCAAAAUUUGCAUUAUAUUAGAUCAUCAAUCGACUAUUUAAUUGUAAAUACUAUAGUAAUGUUAUAUAUUACUCGCGCGUUUAUGGUACAUUAUUGUACAAACGUCGUAGGAUAUUUAAUCGCGUUUCGUGUGCAUACUUAUUCAGGUUACAAGGUUAGGUGUCGGCCGGUAAUUGAUUCGGAUGUAGGAUGGCCUCCAUGUACAUUUAUUCAUCAGUAUCCUUGCCACUUGUUGUGCGCUGGUGACUGAUGCACACAAUAACAAUCGAUUUUGCACCUGAGUCUGACAUCGAAGAAGGACCAUUCUUGCAACACAUUAUGAAUAUUUAAUUUCUUUAUCAUUUUCCUAAAUAACUUUUCUGAUUAUCUAUUAAAUUGACCCCAAAAUGCAUUUUUAUGUUUGAAUGACUAACUUUUCGUUGAUAGAAAGGAUAAACCUUAAGGCUUUCACUAAAACUUUUACCACUCUACGACAUGUUUCGCCACACUGUGGCAUCAUCAGGCAGAUAAAUAUUAUCAUUUUCUUAAUUUACUUUUGUGAUUAUCUCACAAAUUAACCCCCAAAAUUAAA
Molecule: long non-coding RNA, 681 nt
Organism: Dalotia coriaria
Lineage: Eukaryota; Metazoa; Arthropoda; Insecta; Coleoptera; Staphylinidae
Exons: 3
Source: RefSeq, a predicted model, not a curated record